UGCGUGGUUUCAGUGGGCUCGCUUGGUGGGACUUAUGGAAAAUCCGAACUGGAUCCAAGUAGAUUGAAGUCUAUAGGUAGCUGGGACACGUUUUUACUGAAAUCUUGUGUCAAUGUCCCCUCACAAUGACCAUCAAUGUCCCUCACACUAAACCUCAAGGAAAUAGGUGUUUUGGGUUGCAACAUCCUGCAUUAAAAUACAGCAUCCAUUUCUGGCUGUGUGGGGAGGCCAAGAUGAUGACACUUCAGAGAAGCUUGAAUGGGGGAGAAGUUGAGGGUUAAUAGGAAUAAAAAAUGAGGAAAUACACUGGUGGGACCUCUAUUUAUUUUUAGACUAAAUAGCCUAUACAGCAACUUUCUCUUGAGCAUUAGCAGUCUCAGUGAGGUGAAAUGUUGAUGUCAAUCACAAGCUACCUUCUGAAUCAUAGCCCAUUUAAAAAUAAUAUAUUGUUGUUGAACAGUUAGAUAUACGGUCAUGUGAAAAAGUGAGUACACCCACUUGAAAUUAAUAUUUUUU
This is a long non-coding RNA of Esox lucius (northern pike), 516 nucleotides long. RefSeq lists it as uncharacterized. The transcript is spliced from 3 exons. The record is from RefSeq and is a predicted model, not a curated record. Lineage: Eukaryota; Metazoa; Chordata; Actinopteri; Esociformes; Esocidae.